This 289-nucleotide ribosomal RNA is filed under the name uncultured bacterium. Its description in RNAcentral is "partial 16S ribosomal RNA". It matches the Rfam family "Bacterial small subunit ribosomal RNA", at positions 334 to 637 of the family's 1533-position model. The record is from RNAcentral.
UUUGCCUACGGGAGGCAGCAGUGGGGAAUAUUGGGCAAUGGGGGGAACCCUGAUCCAGCGACGCCGCGUGAGUGAAGAAGUAUUUCGGUAUGUAAAGCUCUAUCAGCAGGGAAGAAAGAAAUGACGGUACCUGACUAAGAAGCCCCGGCUAACUACGUGCCAGCAGCCGCGGUAAUACGUAGGGGGCAAGCGUUAUCCGGAUUUACUGGGUGUAAAGGGAGCGUAGACGGCAAUGCAAGUCUGGAGUGAAAGGCGGGGGCCCAACCCCCGGACUGCUCUGGAAACUGUA